This 549-nucleotide ribosomal RNA is filed under the name uncultured Glomeromycotina. Its description in RNAcentral is "SSU rRNA". It matches the Rfam family "Eukaryotic small subunit ribosomal RNA", at positions 548 to 1098 of the family's 1831-position model. The record is from RNAcentral. Lineage: Eukaryota; Fungi; Glomeromycota.
UUGGAGGGCAAGUCUGGUGCCAGCAGCCGCGGUAAUUCCAGCUCCAAUAGCGUAUAUUAAAGUUGUUGCAGUUAAAAAGCUCGUAGUUGAAUUUCGGGAUCAAUUUAUUGGUCGUGCCAACGGUACGCACUGGUACAAUUGGUUUCUCCCUUCUGACGAAGCAUGAUGUCAUUAAUUUGAUGUCGUGGGGAAUCAGGACUGUUACUUUGAAAAAAUUAGAGUGUUUAAAGCAGGCUUUGGCUUGAAUACAUUAGCAUGGAAUAAUGAAAUAGGACGUUUGAUCUUAUUUCGUUGGUUUCUAAGAUCGACGUAAUGAUUAAUAGGGAUAGUUGGGGGCAUUAGUAUUCAAUUGUCAGAGGUGAAAUUCUUGGAUUUAUUGAAGACUAACUACUGCGAAAGCAUUUGCCAAGGAUGUUUUCAUUAAUCAAGAACGAAAGUUAGGGGAUCGAAGACGAUCAGAUACCGUCGUAGUCUUAACCAUAAACUAUGCCGACUAGGGAUCGGACGAUGUUAAUUUUUUAAUGACUCAUUCGGCGCCUUACGGGAAAC